UGCACAAAUUCCUUCAAUGAUAUAUAUUAACUUGUAGUACGCCGUAGUACAUACAGCCCCUAGCCAUGAUAUUUAGAGUAAAUAUUAAAAUUUUUGAACGAAAAUUCAAAAAACGUUGCGUCACAUUUCCGAACGGCGCGUCUCCGUCACGCCGUUCGGCGCUACCAACUUCAUUGUCGUUUUCAUGCAGCCGACGGCCAUUACGCGUCAUCUAAUUUUAAAGUGUUUUCUGCGUAUAAAAGUGGAAAAAAUGCGAAUUAUAAUGUAUCGAAGAAAAUUAGACAGUGUGGAAAGUAAUCUGUUUGAUAAAUUAGGCGAGAAAAUAAGAAGAGUAGGAGAGGAAGAUAGAAGAAAGCCGAUCAACGCGGGCGUCCCUCGCCGCCAUGAUCGCGGGCAUUGCGGACUUUAUUGUUUGCGUUAUCUUACAAGAUCCAAACCGCGCCCUAGGUUUGCCUUAUAUUCGAGAUCACCAUCUCUGCCUGCGGCGUCGAGAAGUAGUAACAGGUCUCCAUUGGUUGUCAUUGAGAUUCUGACGACCUCCAUAAUGAAGCACAAAUGCAAUUGAAGAUCUAAGCGAUGAAGUCUUAACCUCUCGGUGAGGCACUUGAGCAGGUUGUUUUUUGGCAAAAACCUUUUUUCCAGCUUACAAAGAGAUAAAUAAAGAAAAGAAAGGACAAGUCAACUAAGAAACAUCCUGCUCCAGAAGUUACAAAGUAUAAAGCCAUAGAACAGAAAUAAUCUGAAGUCUCAAGCGCAUUAUUUGCCACUGGCUUGGCCCUCAUAACAUUUGCUGAGUGAAUUGGUCAUCUUUUGUGAGACGCAGGGAGUUACAACUUAAAAGGAUGUUUAUAACGUUGGGUCUUUACAAUAAAAUUGUAUGUGGGACCUUAAAAUAUUGUGAUGUUGACUAGUGUUUUUAGAGAAAACAUAGCUAAAAAGUUUUUAAAUGCCAUUGAAUAAUCUAGGGAAGAUCUGAAGAGACCUAAGAAGAUAUAACCUAGUAGAAGAUACAAAUUCAAGGGCCCAACCAAUAACACAGAGACAUACCCAGAGCCCAAGGUCAGAAGCUGUACCACAGGAAACCAUAACAACACCACCUCUUCUGCCAAGCCAUAUCAUCAGCGGAGGUGUCGCACUCAGCAAUAUUACUAUUACAAUAGCUGUUAAAUGAUCAGCAACCAGCAGUUUCAGCGACGUGUUAUCCUGUUUGCCGCGGGGCUCUCCGGGCAGCGCUGGCGCUGAAGGGGGCGGCGGUGACGUCAUGCUGCAGUCCCUCGCGCCCAACACCGUCAAGCAGUAUCACACGUACUUGACACGCUGGUAUUAAUAUACCAGCAUAUUACAUAUUAAAUAUUAUGUAAUAUGUUUUGUGGAAAAUAAUAUUAAUUGUUUUAAGACAUCUAUUCCACAAAUACUAGGUUUUAACAAAUUGUGUAACGAGGUUGCUAGCUAGCUGGGUAUGAAAGUGUCAAUUGUUGCACAUCUGCUUUGGUGCUUUUAUUGAGAGAAAAGAUCUCAUCAGAUGAUAACGUGAUACGCUUUAUGAAGGUGCGUUUUUUCGUAUAUACCCACCAUAACCUAAAUAUCGAGACGUAAUUGGUUUUAAACAAUUUGUCAACGUUGUCAACAAGUGUGUGAAAUAUCCGAGUAAAAAAUUAGUCACCCUAUUAGCAAUUGUCACAGCACACGGAGUGCAAAAUCUGUACUUGAUAAAGUUAUGUAAUACUAUUUACCAUUAUCCUGAAAAGAUCCUUAUAAAAAUUUCAGACUUUAUUAAAACUUCUAAAGUAGGUAGCUGUACGGAUCAACGAGUGCAUAACAACAUAGUUAUAUGUGGUGGGUGUGAACGACUAUUUAUUGCCUAUGAGAAACCACUUAGAUUAGUAGGUGGAUUAAGUAAAUAAGAUAGUGGUAUUGACACCUCCAUUUUCACCUCCCAUUUGACCCACCAUGCGUCGGUGUUAGCCGCAAAUCGAUUAGGAGUCAAUAUUGAUGUAACCAGAAAAACAUCAGGCCUGAUACUUCUAAAGUUAUCGAUAAAUUUUAUAAUAGGCCCUUAGUGUCUACAAUUGAUUUUGAUAGAGCAUCGAUGAUCGAUGUCUAGUUAGUUAGGAAACAAGUGUUUCCGUCAAUUAACAAUGAAUGUAAAAUUGUAAGCAGUAAUAUAUUACGAAGACUUGUUUAUAUGUACCUAUAGUUGUUGAGUUGUUAAUUCUUAAAAACAAAGAUAGUAUGUAUCAUUGCUGAUUGUGAUAGUUAUAAAACAUAAGUAUUAUAAGAUGGUACUAGAUGAAUAUUAAUAAGGAAGGAUUUCCUUUUGGUUUAAAUACAUUUAUUAAUGUUUGGUAAAUGAUGAUAUCACUAGAAAUUUGAAAUUUAAGUGAUUAAGGAUUAUCACGUGUUAAAAAUUCACAUAAUCUUGACAUAAAACAUAAUUUUGCUAGGCUAACAUUGUAUACCUAAUACAAAGCCAGAAAUAAACUUUGUAUAUCUCUAAA
Molecule: long non-coding RNA, 2498 nt
Filed under: Leguminivora glycinivorella
Lineage: Eukaryota; Metazoa; Arthropoda; Insecta; Lepidoptera; Tortricidae
Description: uncharacterized LOC125239477
Source: RNAcentral